UACGGAGGAUCCGAGCGUUAUCCGGAUUUACUGGGUGUAAAGGGCGUGUAGGCGGGGACGCAAGUCAGAUGUGAAAACCACGGGCUCAACCUGUGGCCUGCAUUUGAAACUGUGUUUCUUGAGUACUGGAGAGGCAGACGGAAUUCCUAGUGUAGCGGUAAAAUGCGUAAAUAUAUGGAAGAACACCAGUGGCGAAGGCGGCUCUCUGGUCUGUAACUGACGCUGAGGCUCGAAAGCAUGGGUAGCGAACAGG
This 253-nucleotide ribosomal RNA is filed under the name uncultured Oscillospira sp. RNAcentral describes it as "partial 16S ribosomal RNA". It matches the Rfam family "Bacterial small subunit ribosomal RNA", at positions 524 to 776 of the family's 1533-position model. The record is from RNAcentral. Lineage: Bacteria; Bacillati; Bacillota; Clostridia; Eubacteriales; Oscillospiraceae.